Molecule: microRNA, 20 nt
Filed under: Schistosoma japonicum
Lineage: Eukaryota; Metazoa; Platyhelminthes; Trematoda; Strigeidida; Schistosomatidae
Description: sja-miR-3483-5p
Source: miRBase by way of RNAcentral
AGCUGAGAUGGUUAGGACAU